GGGCGGGCUAUGUAUUGUUGAAGGACGGCCCUCUGUGUGUAAAGAAACACGAUAACCCUCUGCCGUGGGAUGACGCGCAGGCGCAAUGUGAAAAGGACCAUGGCCGACUAGCCGUUAUUGACGACAUUCACAAACUUGAAGCGUAUAACAAUUAUUCAGGCGAACCUGUAUGGGUAGGUGCCAGCGACAAGGCAAAGGAGGGGUCAUGGAUAUGGCUGAAUGGGGUCAGACUGGAUUCCACCUAUUGGCCAGAAACCAAACUCAAUAAUCGCGAUACCGCGUUUUCGGAGAAUACGCGCUCUGCCGAUUGUGCAACGCUGAAAUACAGAGAACUUAAUGACAAUCACUGCUUGAGGACAAUGAUAUACCUCUGUGAGAGGGCAGAUCUAGUUUAGUCUAGUAGUAUCAAUUUCUAUGGACUUGACCAUCCCGGUACUUGAUAUUUUCCAAAAUUGACCAUGCCGGAUAUCCUUGAUAGAUAAUAUUUUCAAACAAUUGGCCAUGUUCAAUGAAAUCAUCACAUGUUUCCCACGGACCCUUUCCAUUAUUUUUGUCUAAGAUGUCACAAGUUUAAUUUGUGAUAGACAUAGCUGAUCAUAGGCAAAAUAUUGCAACACCAUAAAUUGACUUGAUGUACACUGAACAUUGAUGGUAAUUUGUAAUCAUAUUUAAACCCCACUAUAAUGACAAUCGGUUAUGUACAAUAUUUGCAGCAUAUGACACAUCAAAUCAAAUGAAACUUUAAACUGUCCAGUGUGGUGAGCCGAAAAGACCAGCUCACCUGCUGCAUAUGCCUGCCAUGCCAAUACAUAUGUAAGACCUAUUGGGCGAACAAUUAGAGAAAACUAUUUCGCACUUUUCACUGGGAACGGUGGAUACAAGAACUGCUUUAUAACUAUAAAACAGAAAUCAAUGUUAUCUUAUUGGAAAGUGACAAACUUUGAUGUAUACUUGAAACACCGUUGGAGAGGAAUCUCUGUAACAGAAAAAAACAUAAGAAACUAAGCCACAUGAAAUUCUUCGCGUUUUACUUAUAAUAACGAACUGUUAUGAUAUCAUGAAGCACAUUUGGAAAGAAUCAAACAUAAACUCAAUAGAACAUUUGUCAAAGCUCAAGAUUUGUGUCUCUUAAAAACUAUGGAUAUUUGUGUGACAUCACGAAUCAAAUUUGAGUAAGGAUCAAACAAAAAAAUGAAUACAAAAAUGCAAAGAACAAAUUUAAAAUUUGGAGCUCAAAUGAAUGUUUUGGAAUUGCUCUCCACCGUCGCAAAAGAGCAUGAUGAUUACUGAAGAGAAAAAUAAAAGGUGAUAAAGAGAACACGAACGAAAAUGACAAUAGUAUUUUAUACAAACAUGCAACCUAGAUAUUCAGAUGGUCAAAUCAGCUCUGCGAAAAUUACUCCAAAUAUUGGUAAACUUUAUCUGAAAAUAAAUUCCAUUUGUAAAAACGAUACUUCUGUGACGAUAGUUGACAGUUUCUUAUUUUUGAUUUUUCAUCAAAAUAAAAAAAAAAUAAGCAUGAAUGAUAAACAAUCAAAAUUCUCCCACCUUCCUUAACUUACUUUAUAUAUUCAUGGGAUGCAAAACAAUGCAAAUUUCAAGCUGUUACUGUAUUUGAUUAGUAUAUUAUAUCUAGGCGAAUAUUAUUGCCACGUGUGAUAGGAGUAAAUAUGGCUAUGAAAAGAUAUACCCAUCUGAAGAUAAUGCUCAGUAUGCAUAACAUCAUAGCCGGAUAUCCGGUAUAUACGCCUUGCAAUGUUAUAUACUCAUUACGAUUAACCUGGAAUAGCUAUAUACUUGUGUUUAUACUCUCCGCAUUGGUUGGUAUCUCGUGGGGGAAAAACAACAAACUAUUGAUACUGCAGGGUCACAGAUGUUCACAACUUCAGAUAUUAGACAACUUUAGUUACUUGAAUCUUAACAUCAUAGUCAUCAAAUAUAAAGUGUUUGUAACAGAACAUUCUCAAUUUACUAUAGUGUUGUUACUUUGAAUAAUAGACACUCAGGAAUCUCACAACUAUCUAAAAUGGUGAUAUUUAAUCCAGUUGCAUUGGUAGUCUAGAACAAGAAUGACUAACGAUUGAUUAAAGCUAGGUUAGAACAUUUUAUUAACUUUUCUUGACUCAUUCAGAUAUCGUUAUGUUAUCAGAAUUAAAAAUCGAUCAAUAAAAAUAUUAAAAGUCCUUUUUUUAUCUUGAACAUUAUUUCCUGAUUUUCAUAUUUCAGUGAUGUGUUCAAUAACAGAAUAAAAUUCAAGGUCGUACUAUUGAAUUUAUUUCCUUGUGGUAUGAGAGCUCUAGAUGCUUGAAUAUGGUUUUACAAAGAAACAUUCUGCCAUAUAAUAUAAGUUGACUUCAACGCAUUUGUUGCAUUUGUAGAUAAAGGCUUGUGUAUCCCAUGCAAUCAUGAAUGAUUUUAUUAAAAAAAAUCCCUUGUAUUAAUUAAUUUAUUAAUUUAUUUGUUUAUUGUACUUAAUAGUUUUUUAGGGAUUGUUACAAAUUACCGGAAAACAGUCUUGAAAUACUAGUGAAUAGCUUUGUCAUAUAAAGGAAACAGGUUCAUAUCAUUACUGGUAUGUUCACCUGAUUUAAGAAAAUCUAUUCCUAAUUACAAAACUUAACUGCUCCAAAAUAAAUAUAAAGUUUGUUUUGAUUUUUUAAUAUAAGAAAUAGUUUCAGGCAUUAAAGACUCAAUGUUCCUGUCUGUAUUUCCAUGUUUCGGCACGGAUUUCAAACUAGCUUCUGAUACACUGCGAAGGGAUUGUGUUUACACUUUAUCAGAUUUAUGAGGACAAAAAGAGUGAAUUCUGCGAAGGUAUAAACGUCGUUCCAUUCAUCAAGCAUUUCAGGAAACCGGAUAGUGUUCCAAAUUAGACAUUCUCAAAUAUUCACCGACCCUUAGAGAUAAUCAUUUGCCACUGAGAAUGGUGACCAAACCAUUAAUUAUAAACAACUGCUAAAGAAGAAGCAUCGUGGUCAACGUGUGACCAAUGACUAGCGAUGUUACUGCGGGUUUCAUUUGUCAUUCAUUACAAGCAUCCUCAGCGAAUCACGGUUCCCAAUGUUCUGGAAAUAUUAUACAAACCCUUAGAAUGAAAAUAAUUGUUUAACCUUAUUUCCCUUCUGGAUUUCCAGUUGACAAAUAUAAGAAGCACAAUAUCAUAAUAUGAUGUUUUAUUCCAAAUUGGUAUUGAUGCCUUUUUUAUGCAUAUACACAAAAAACAGUGUGUGUAAAAAUACUGUAACGGAUAGUUCUCACUGGUGUUAGUGAAGACAAACUGUCAUUGUAAAGCUGUGCUAACAGCUGAUCGUUAUUGUACAGUGUGUUGUGACCGUUGUCACAUUUAGGUUGUUAUAUUUUGUCAUAUCACAUAAUAUCCUAGAUUUUGAGCAUUGGUAGAUAUCUCUAUAGAUAAUGUAUCUUUGCUUUAUUAGCUAAAAUAGUCUAUGGUUUUGUGGUACAUUGGUUGUUAUGGGCGACGCCAUCUUACAAUUAGCGUUCUUUUCGGUCAUGGCAAGCGAAGCUACUACGUAAGUGUAUGCGAUUAUUUGUAAUGUUUAGAAAAGAUAUAGGUAAUGUUUAGAUGUAUUAGAACAUAACAAGUCAAAUUAUAAUGGCAGUUCUGGUACUUACAAUUUUAUUUAGUAGUACAAGGUGAUGUUUACCACAGUAGUCAAAUGAGCACCUCUGUCAACUAUCGGUGAAGGUCGCUUGCCGGUUGACUGCGUACAGUACGGCUAUUGUAGGCCUAUUAUUUAGAGCCAAACCCGGAUUGUAACCAUUUUUAACGGGUUCCGGAUAGUGAUUAAUAUGUUCAUGUAAUUGUAGUUAUCAGAUUAAAGCUGUUAUUUUUAGAAUCUCCUGUUAUCUGAAACUGUUUCUUUGUUGGCAUUACGUUGCUAACUCGCGGCGUCAUCUAUGACGUCAAUGGCGUAAAACGUCCGAAUUGAUAGCUUCCGGCUUUUCUUGGAAGGUACAUAAUGUGUCCUUAUAGUUGGAUAAUUGUGAUAUGUCAUCACCGGUAAUACACUUUCUGAUUACAUAUUCUGAUAUCAUAUAGGAUUAUUGUUAUAUUGGAUUGUAGUAGCUGUUCUUACAUGAUUUAAACAGUAUCAAUAAAUAGAUUUGUCGUAAAUAGACAAUAUAGUAUUAGCCUUUUAUACAGGUAGCUAAAUACAUCGGUUCGACUAUGACUACAACUUAUCAGUGAGUUAGUUUAAUGGAUUACCCAAAUUUAAUGGAUUACAUCGAUUAAUCUAAUAUUAGGUCUGUCGACACUUUGAUAUUAUACUGAUAUAAUAUUGAUAUAUAAAUAUCAUGUUAUAACUUAUUAAUUUAUUGUGAUACAUCUGUAUCUUGAAUUGGGACCGAAUUCCAUGUAUGGUAAUGCAUAGAUAAAUUCUCCUGGGUGUGUAUGAAAGAAGAGUGGGAUAUUGAGCUUACUGUAUUGUAACUUAUUUAUUGUUGAGCUUUAUUCAAUAUAACAUUUAUACUUUGAAAA
Pecten maximus is the source of this 4501-nucleotide long non-coding RNA. RefSeq lists it as uncharacterized. Lineage: Eukaryota; Metazoa; Mollusca; Bivalvia; Pectinida; Pectinidae. The transcript has 2 exons. The record is from RefSeq and is a predicted model, not a curated record.